Long non-coding RNA from Sander lucioperca (pikeperch), 269 nucleotides. RefSeq lists it as uncharacterized. NCBI's taxonomy places the organism in Eukaryota, Metazoa, Chordata, Actinopteri, Perciformes, Percidae. The record is from RefSeq and is a predicted model, not a curated record. The transcript has 3 exons.
UGCUGCAAAAAUGUUGCUCCUCACUUCUGAGGGUUCUCGUUAGUUUUGACUAUGAACCACUAGAACUUUAUUGUCAAAAACAGCGAUCGAUAUUAGAUUAGAUUUUAUCCUCUGUGGGUUCUCAUAUGCUUUCCUAAAGCUGAAGCCUCAUAGAAUCUUUUCCCGCAGGUCUUGCAAACAUACGGCUUCUCACCUGUGUGGGCUCUUCUCAUGUGGACCAACAAGUUACUAUUAUAGCAAAACCCUUUUCCACAUGUUUUGCAAGAAUA